CUACCUGCAGUCGGACGGUAGCACAGAGGAGCUUGCUCCUUGGGUGACGAGUGGCGGACGGGUGAGUAAUGUCUGGGGAUCUGCCCGAUAGAGGGGGAUAACCACUGGAAACGGUGGCUAAUACCGCAUAACGUCGCAAGACCAAAGAGGGGGACCUUCGGGCCUCUCACUAUCGGAUGAACCCAGAUGGGAUUAGCUAGUAGGCGGGGUAAUGGCCCACCUAGGCGACGAUCCCUAGCUGGUCUGAGAGGAUGACCAGCCACACUGGAACUGAGACACGGUCCAGACUCCUACGGGAGGCAGCAGUGGGGAAUAUUGCACAAUGGGCGCAAGCCUGAUGCAGCCAUGCCGCGUGUAUGAAGAAGGCCUUCGGGUUGUAAAGUACUUUCAGCGGGGAGGAAGGCGGUGAGGUUAAUAACCUCGCCGAUUGACGUUACCCGCAGAAGAAGCACCGGCUAACUCCGUGCCAGCAGCCGCGGUAAUACGGAGGGUGCAGCGUUAAUCGGAAUUACUGGGCGUAAAGCGCACGCAGGCGGUCUGUUAAGUCAGAUGUGAAAUCCCCGGGCUUAACCUGGGAACUGCAUUUGAAACUGGCAGGCUUGAGUCUCGUAGAGGGGGGUAGAAUUCCAGGUGUAGCGGUGAAAUGCGUAGAGAUCUGGAGGAAUACCGGUGGCGAAGGCGGCCCCCUGGACGAAGACUGACGCUCAGGUGCGAAAGCGUGGGGAGCAAACAGGAUUAGAUACCCUGGUAGUCCACGCCGUAAACGAUGUCGACUUGGAGGUUGUUCCCUUGAGGAGUGGCUUCCGGAGCUAACGCGUUAAGUCGACCGCCUGGGGAGUACGGCCGCAAG
Molecule: ribosomal RNA, 850 nt
Filed under: uncultured bacterium
Lineage: Bacteria
Description: bacterial SSU rRNA
Rfam family: Bacterial small subunit ribosomal RNA
Source: RNAcentral